UUAACUUACAAAUUAAUAAAUUUUAUUUAAAUUUAUAAAUUAUUUAAAUGUUGUAGCAAAUAUAUUAUUGGGCGUACGAGGUUAAUAACGAAGUGCGAGAAAUAUUUGAUGAGAUUUUUGCUAAACGUAUUAAAGACAACACUUAUGAGUGGAAAAAAGUGGCGAAAAGGGAAAGACAAACCAAAAUUUAUGCGAAUAGCAGUUUGGAAUGGGUUGAUCGAGUAUUGGGAAAAAGAAAAAAAAAAUAAAGAGCGUGGCGUAACCAACUCUAACAACCGAAAGAGCGACCGCGGAGGUUAUGGUAUGGCAAAACACACUUGCGGAGCUGUACCAUA
Molecule: long non-coding RNA, 335 nt
Filed under: Capsella rubella
Lineage: Eukaryota; Viridiplantae; Streptophyta; Magnoliopsida; Brassicales; Brassicaceae
Description: long non-coding RNA (CRUB_LNC003007)
Source: RNAcentral